Schizosaccharomyces pombe (fission yeast) is the source of this 665-nucleotide non-coding RNA. The record is from the annotation of a GenBank genome assembly. Lineage: Eukaryota; Fungi; Ascomycota; Schizosaccharomycetes; Schizosaccharomycetales; Schizosaccharomycetaceae.
AUUGAAAGUAAAUGAAAUCAAAAAUACUCAGUUUUUCUUCCUUUGCUUUUCUACUUCAACAGCUGAUAAAAUAGGAUACCCGAUGAAAAGCAUUAACAAUCCACAACUCAGAAGAAUUAAAGUCAAAAUAUUUACAAAUCCACGCAAAGUAAAAAUAUUCAAAUCGCGGCCAUCAUAGAAAUCUUCAUUGUGCAAAAUAUCAUCGACUUCCUUAACACUAGGAUCCCAUAAAAGUGUAGCAGACUGCAUAGUCACCGGAGACUCCACGGUUCCCAAGGAACUAGCACUGCCAAAUGCUGAUUCUGAUGGCCCAGUCAGUUGUGCUGAGGCAAUUUCAUCUGUAUAAGGAGAAUACUUUUUCUCUGAAAAAUCCUUGACAUGAAAGUCAGAAACAGAAUCCAUCGGCUGUAUAUCAUGGCCUACGGGCUCUAGGUCUUCUGAUUCCCAAAUGUCAUCGUCGUAAGGCUCCUCAUCACCGGCUGAAACUUCGUUAGCCAACUCGUAAUUCAAUUCAUUAUCGAGCAUAUCAUCUGGCCUUAAACUUUCAUUAUAGUCUAUAGGUGACUGAGACAUUUUUUUCUAAUUAGUACUCUGCCUCAGUUGUUUGGUUGUUUACAAAGGAAUUUACUCAGCCGAAAUAAAAUACCAAUCACCUUAGAAUACGU